AGGGAAAUAUCCUAGUGGUCAAGGAGCUUGCUUUGGGAGCAAGAAAUCAGGAGUUCGAGUCUCCUUUUCCCUA
RNAcentral lists this transfer RNA (73 nucleotides) under Crassvirales sp. RNAcentral describes it as "tRNA-Pro". It matches the Rfam family "tRNA". From Rfam's summary of the family: Transfer RNA (tRNA) molecules are approximately 80 nucleotides in length. Their secondary structure includes four short double-helical elements and three loops (D, anti-codon, and T loops). Lineage: Duplodnaviria; Heunggongvirae; Uroviricota; Caudoviricetes; Crassvirales. The record is from RNAcentral.